This is a long non-coding RNA of Protobothrops mucrosquamatus (brown spotted pit viper), 187 nucleotides long. RefSeq lists it as uncharacterized. The record is from RefSeq and is a predicted model, not a curated record. NCBI's taxonomy places the organism in Eukaryota, Metazoa, Chordata, Lepidosauria, Squamata, Viperidae. The transcript has 3 exons.
GCAGAAGCAGAAGUCCCAGCAGUCACUGUGCCAGCUCCUGAGCCAGUGGUACAAGAGCCAGUUGAAACGGACCAAAUAGUACAAGUAUCUGUGGAGGAAGAUUCGGUACAGACUGAAGAACACGCUCAAAUAAAGCAAGAGCCAGAUCCAACGUGGUAGACCUGACUUGCAUUAGGGUAAAGGACAG